UACAGAGGUCUCAAGCGUUGUUCGGAUUCAUUGGGCGUAAAGGGUGCGUAGGUGGCGCCGUAAGUCAGGUGUGAAAUUUCGGAGCUUAACUCCGAAACUGCAUUCGAUACUGCGGUGCUUGAGGACUGGAGAGGAGACUGGAAUUUACGGUGUAGCAGUGAAAUGCGUAGAGAUCGUAAGGAAGACCAGUGGCGAAGGCGGGUCUCUGGACAGUUCCUGACACUGAGGCACGAAGGCCAGGGGAGCAAACGGG
This 253-nucleotide ribosomal RNA is filed under the name uncultured bacterium. RNAcentral's name for it is "partial 16S ribosomal RNA". It matches the Rfam family "Bacterial small subunit ribosomal RNA", at positions 524 to 776 of the family's 1533-position model. The record is from RNAcentral.